Molecule: ribosomal RNA, 371 nt
Filed under: Clostridioides difficile
Lineage: Bacteria; Bacillati; Bacillota; Clostridia; Peptostreptococcales; Peptostreptococcaceae
Description: partial 23S ribosomal RNA
Rfam family: Bacterial large subunit ribosomal RNA
Source: RNAcentral
UUGGGGUUGCGGACAUAUCAUAACGAAGAGGUAUCGUAAUUGAAGAGGUUUGGAAAGACCCACCACAGAAGGUAAUAGUCCUGUAUGUUAAACGAGAAGACUUUAGAUAUGAUCCAGAGUACCACGGGACACGUGAAACCCUGUGGGAAGCAGGAGGGACCACCCUCCAAGGCUAAAUACUACCUAGUGACCGAUAGCGUAUAGUACCGUGAGGGAAAGGUGAAAAGAACCCCGGGAGGGGAGGGAAAUAGAACCUGAAACCCUGCACUUACAAGCUGUGGAAGCACAUUUCUUGUGUGACCGCGUACUUUUUGUAGAACGGGCCAACGAGUUACGUUAAGUAGCAAGGUUAAGCACUUAAGGUGUGGAGC